Long non-coding RNA from Oreochromis niloticus (Nile tilapia), 391 nucleotides. RefSeq lists it as uncharacterized. The record is from RefSeq and is a predicted model, not a curated record. Lineage: Eukaryota; Metazoa; Chordata; Actinopteri; Cichliformes; Cichlidae. The transcript is spliced from 2 exons.
CACUGAGCACAGUGCAAACUAGCAAGACAGAAGCUAAGCUCAUUGCAACAUGGCAAAUUGAACCUCCCCCGCCCGCAUUCAGAUCUGGCUUUUGGAACUAUUUUGGUCUUCAUGUGAAGUAUGACCCUGAAGAUUUCUUUUCAAACAUGUGGAUCUGCUGUUACUUUCACUGAGGAAUGGGACCGCAGCACAGCAGCUACACACCAGAGAUCAGCUGAGCCACCUGAUGCUCAGAUUAACUGGAGACGGUCAAACAGAUGUGUGACAGACUUUAAGGAGCUGCUGCCAACAAACCAGCAAAUAAACACUGAAUAUUUCAUGUGUGACAUUUGUGAGCUUAAACACAGUCCGUCAGUCUUUUUGCUCUUGAACAAUAAAAUAUUAAAAACUG